CCUACGGGAGGCAGCAGUGGGGAAUAUUGGACAAUGGGGGGAACCCUGAUCCAGCCAUGCCGCGUGUGUGAAGAAGGCCUUUUGGUUGUAAAGCACUUUAAGCGAGGAGGAGGCUCCCAGUAUUAAUACUACUGGAGAGUGGACGUUACUCGCAGAAUAAGCACCGGCUAACUCUGUGCCAGCAGCCGCGGUAAUACAGAGGGUGCAAGCGUUAAUCGGAUUUACUGGGCGUAAAGCGUGCGUAGGUGGCCAAUUAAGUCAAAUGUGAAAUCCCCGAGCUUAACUUGGGAAUUGCAUUCGAUACUGGUUGGCUAGAGUAUGGGAGAGGAUGGUAGAAUUCCAGGUGUAGCGGUGAAAUGCGUAGAGAUCUGGAGGAAUACCGAUGGCGAAGGCAGCCAUCUGGCCUAAUACUGACACUGAGGUACGAAAGCAUGGGGAGCAAACAGGAUUAGAUACCCUGGUAGUCCAUGCCGUAAACGAUGUUUACUAGCCGUUGGGGUCUUUGAGACUUUAGUGGCGCAGCUAACGCGAUAAGUAGACCGCCUGGGGAGUACGGUCGCAAGACUUAAAACNCGAAAGGAUUGACGCGNGAGAGAGCGAGGACGACGACGAGGGGAGAGG
RNAcentral lists this ribosomal RNA (621 nucleotides) under uncultured bacterium. Its description in RNAcentral is "bacterial SSU rRNA". It matches the Rfam family "Bacterial small subunit ribosomal RNA", at positions 338 to 951 of the family's 1533-position model. The record is from RNAcentral.